Molecule: non-coding RNA, 782 nt
Organism: Callithrix jacchus (white-tufted-ear marmoset)
Lineage: Eukaryota; Metazoa; Chordata; Mammalia; Primates; Cebidae
Source: RefSeq, a predicted model, not a curated record
GAUAGCCUCCACAAUUACCCACUGAUAAUUCCAAUUCAGGUAUUCCCACCCUCUCUUGUGGUUCCAGAGUUAGUUUCUGUGGCACUAGAAACACAAUAUGUCAUUAGACAUUAGGUCUCUCUGUCUCUCAUGUGCACUCAUUCUGGGGACAGCCAGUUGCCACGUAAUGAGCAGUCCUAUGGAGAGACCCACGUGACAGCAGUCAUGCGAGUGAUACUGGAAGUGAAGCCCGCAGCUCCAGUCAAGCCUUCAGAAGACUGCAGCCCUGGCUGACAGCUUGAUGGCAACCUCCUGAGAGACCCUCAGCUCGAACAACCCAGCUAAGCUCUGCCUGGAUUCUUGGUCCUCAAAAACUGUUAUAAAAGACAUUGUGGCUACCAUCUCUCAUCACUCACUCAAAGGGAAGCCAACCAGCACGCAAUGAGAAUCUCAGGUGAUGAGGGCCUGAGGCCUGUCGCCAAUCACGUGAAUACGCUUUUGGGAGCAGAUUCUCUAGCCCCAGUCAAGCCUCAGAAGACUUCAGCCCUAGGUGACAGCUGGAUGAUAAUCCCAUGAGUCAGAACCACCCAACUAAGCCACUCCUGGAUUCCUGACCCUAGAAACUGUGUGAGCUGGAAUUCUGUGAAGUACAUGACCUCAAGUCUUUUGGAUAAAUGGAAACACAGCUUAUUUUGGAAAGAUGGAAGACUGGCUGUACUAAUAUCAGCAGUGGAAGAGGAGGGACAUCACUAGAGAUCCCAUGGAUACUGAAAGGAUCAGAAAGGAGUAUUAUGAACAUUGUU